This 70-nucleotide transfer RNA is filed under the name Colochela zhongi. Its description in RNAcentral is "tRNA-Leu". The record is from RNAcentral. Lineage: Eukaryota; Metazoa; Arthropoda; Insecta; Hymenoptera; Tenthredinidae.
ACUAUUUUGACAGAUAAUUGUAUUAAAUUUAGAAUUUAAUAAUGAAUAAUUUNWAAUUAUUCAAAUAGUA